UAGGGAAUCUUCGGCAAUGGACGAAAGUCUGACCGAGCAACGCCGCGUGAGUGAAGAAGGUUUUCGGAUCGUAAAACUCUGUUGGUAGAGAAGAACGUUGGUGAGAGUGGAAAGCUCAUCAAGUGACGGUAACUACCCAGAAAGGGACGGCUAACUACGUGCCAGCAGCCGUGGUAAUACGUAGGUCCCGAGCGUUGUCCGGAUUUAUUGGGCGUAAAGCGAGCGCAGGUGGUUUAUUAAGUCUGGUGUAAAAGGCAGUGGCUCAACCAUUGUAUGCAUUGGAAACUGGUAGACUUGAGUGCAGGAGAGGAGAGUGGAAUUCCAUGUGUAGCGGUGAAAUGCGUAGAUAUAUGGAGGAACACCGGUGGCGAAAGCGGCUCUCUGGCCUGUAACUGACACUGAGGCUCGAAAGCGUGGGGAGCAAACAGGAUUAGAUAGC
This 439-nucleotide ribosomal RNA is filed under the name uncultured bacterium. RNAcentral's name for it is "partial 16S ribosomal RNA". It matches the Rfam family "Bacterial small subunit ribosomal RNA", at positions 355 to 786 of the family's 1533-position model. The record is from RNAcentral.